Cylas formicarius (sweet potato weevil) is the source of this 807-nucleotide long non-coding RNA. RefSeq lists it as uncharacterized. The record is from RefSeq and is a predicted model, not a curated record. The transcript has 3 exons. Lineage: Eukaryota; Metazoa; Arthropoda; Insecta; Coleoptera; Brentidae.
UAUCAAGAAAUGAAGGUGUGUAUAUUUCGAUUAAAAUAGAAAAAAAUAUUUAAAACUUUUUUGUUUCACCCUAUAGCAACGCCCGUGCGGGAGUGCAAGAGAAUAUUUUUACUGGAAACGAAAGCUAACCUUUGUGGACACAUUUUCAUCUCAUAUAUGAUUAUAAUAUUUAUAACCUUUUAGUUUGACUCUAUAGCAACCCUUGUACGGGGCUGCAAAUGAAUAUUUUCUAUGGAAACUGGUUUUUUACGGCAGUAUUUUCAGGCACAAAAGGAAUUAAGGUGUAGAAAGCGUUGUUAAAAAAAUUAGCAACAAGUGCAGAGUUAAUAUUAUGCUGAAUUUCAGCACACGGAUCGACGUCGUUUUUUAAGAAUUUUAGUCCUUGGUCCUUUCAGCGCUAUAUACACGAUACCAGCUAAUUUUUCCCGAAUUUUAUUUUUUUAUAAACUUAUUGGUUUAACCUCCAUUGAAAAUGUAAAUAAAGUCGAAUUCACGAAAUGUGACUCUAAAAGUGUAAAUAUAACUUUGAGGUACUAGAUAUCGCACUGGAAACAUCUAAAUGGAAAAAAGGUUCAACAAGCACCUCAUACAGAUAGAACGCUCUUUCUUUCAUCGCAAGUCUACUAAUUGCAGAAAGUUUCGCCUCCCAAAUAUAUAAUUAUGAAAAGUACCAAUGGACAAUUUCGUUAAAAAACUGUAGGUAUUGGAAAACCAGAAAUGUUCGGGAUUUUUUAAAAGUAUCCACACUCCAGACUGGUUUUGUAGACAAGAUUAUGGUUUAUGUCACAACUACGACUUACCUUUAAU